RNAcentral lists this long non-coding RNA (296 nucleotides) under Carica papaya (papaya). Its description in RNAcentral is "long non-coding RNA (CPAP_LNC003602)". The record is from RNAcentral. Lineage: Eukaryota; Viridiplantae; Streptophyta; Magnoliopsida; Brassicales; Caricaceae.
UGGCAGAGAUGCUGACGUGGGAGGCCACGCAGAACGGAGCCAUGUGGGCGAUCCGCGUGCGCACGAUCGGAUGGCUGAGAUCCGUUCCCAUGCGCACAGAUGGCCCAGAUCAAACGCGCAUGUAGACGGCCCAGAUUGCAUGCGUGCGGACAGCCCAGAUUGAAUCACGCACGGACGGCCCAGAUUAAAUCGUGAUGGACGGUUCAGAUUAAAAGGAGAAGGUUAUAAAUAAUCUCAUCCACACCCAACUCCAAACCCAAGCCGUCAGAGCCAUCGCUGGAGAAGACAGCCCAGCC